AGUGAACGCUGGCGGUAGGCCUAACACAUGCAAGUCGAACGGCAGCACAGUAAGAGCUUGCUCUUACGGGUGGCGAGUGGCGGACGGGUGAGGAAUACAUCGGAAUCUACUUUUUCGUGGGGGAUAACGUAGGGAAACUUACGCUAAUACCGCAUACGACCUACGGGUGAAAGCAGGGGAUCUUCGGACUUUGCGCGAUUGAAUGAGCCGAUGUCGGAUUAGCUAGUUGGCGGGGUAAAGGCCCACCAAGGCGACGAUCCGUAGCUGAUCUGAGAGGAUGAUCAGCCACACUGGAACUGAGACACGGUCCAGACUCCUACGGGAGGCAGCAGUGGGGAAUAUUGGACAAUGGGCGCAAGCCUGAUCCAGCCAUGCCGCGUGGGUGAAGAAGGCCUUCGGGUUGUAAAGCCCUUUUGUUGGGAAAGAAAAUCAGCAGGUUAAUACCCCGCUGUUCUGACGGUACCCAAAGAAUAAGCACCGGCUAACUUCGUG
This 492-nucleotide ribosomal RNA is filed under the name uncultured bacterium. RNAcentral describes it as "partial 16S ribosomal RNA". It matches the Rfam family "Bacterial small subunit ribosomal RNA", at positions 29 to 507 of the family's 1533-position model. The record is from RNAcentral.